This 301-nucleotide ribosomal RNA is filed under the name uncultured bacterium. RNAcentral describes it as "partial 16S ribosomal RNA". It matches the Rfam family "Bacterial small subunit ribosomal RNA", at positions 509 to 807 of the family's 1533-position model. The record is from RNAcentral.
CAGUAGCCACGGUAAUACAGAGGGUGCGAGCGCUAAUCGGAAUUACUGGGCGUAAAGGGCGCGUAGGCGGUUAGGAAGGUGUGAUGUGAAAGCCCUGGGCUUAACCUAGGAAGUGCAUCGCAAACCAACUAGCUGGAGUAUAAGAGAGGGUGGCGGAAUUUCCGGUGUAGCGGUGAAAUGCGUAGAGAUCGGAAGGAACGUCAAUGGCGAAGGCAGCCACCUGGCUUAAUACUGACGCUGAGGCGCGAAAGCGUGGGGAGCGAACAGGAUUAGAGACCCCAGUAGUCCCUGUCUCUUAUAC